GAACGAACGCUGGCGGCGCGCCUAAUACAUGCAAGUCGAGCGAGAAGACGUAGCAAUACGUUUGUAAAGCGGCGAACGGGUGAGGAAUACAUGGGUAACCUACCCUCGAGUGGGAAUAACUAGCCGAAAGGUUAGCUAAUACCGCGUACGCUCCUUGGACUUCGGUUCAGGGAGGAAAGCGAUACCGUGGGUAUCGCGCUCUUGGAUGGGCUCAUGUCCUAUCAGCUUGUUGGUGAGGUAACGGCUCACCAAGGCUUCGACGGGUAGCUGGUCUGAGAGGACGAUCAGCCACACUGGCACUGCGACACGGGGCCAGACUCCUACGGGAGGCAGCAGUAAGGAAUAUUGCGCAAUGGGCAAAGCCUGACGCAGCGACGCCGCGUGGGGGAUGAAGGUC
RNAcentral lists this ribosomal RNA (397 nucleotides) under uncultured bacterium. Its description in RNAcentral is "bacterial SSU rRNA". It matches the Rfam family "Bacterial small subunit ribosomal RNA", at positions 27 to 416 of the family's 1533-position model. The record is from RNAcentral.